CCCUUAGAUGUCCGGGGCUGCACGCGCGCUACACUGAAGGAAUCAGCGUGCUAAAACCAUUGUCGAAAGGCAUUGGUAAACCCAUUAAAAUCCUACGUGAUUGGGAUCGGGAAUUGCAAUUAUUUCCCUUGAACGAGAAAUUCCCAGUAAGUGUGGGUCAUAAGCUCGCGUUGAUUACGUCCCUGCCCUUUGUACACACCGCCCGUCGCUGCCCGGGACUGAGCCGUUUCGAGAAAAGCGGGGACUGCUGCUGUCGGGGCUUUCGGGCCUUGGCUUCGGUGGAAACCGCUUUAAUCGCAGUGGCUUGAACCGGGCAAAAGUCGUAACA
Molecule: ribosomal RNA, 328 nt
Filed under: uncultured eukaryote
Lineage: Eukaryota
Description: partial 18S ribosomal RNA
Rfam family: Eukaryotic small subunit ribosomal RNA
Source: RNAcentral